Long non-coding RNA from Lolium perenne, 2814 nucleotides. RefSeq lists it as uncharacterized. NCBI's taxonomy places the organism in Eukaryota, Viridiplantae, Streptophyta, Magnoliopsida, Poales, Poaceae. The record is from RefSeq and is a predicted model, not a curated record.
CCCCCCGUUCGCUCUUCUCUACCCACGACCCCCCAUCCCAAGUCUAUCAUGUCCAACCCUAGCCGCAUCUGCCUCCCCCCACGCGAUCUGGUCCUCCUGCACCCGUGCGUGCCCGCCUCCCGCCUCCACCUGCCGCCGUUGUUGUCUAUUUCCCAUCUCGAGGACACGCGGCGAGAUGCAGUCCGUCGCCCUCGACAACCAGCUGCAACAAGCCGGAGCAGAGGCCGCGGAGAGCUCGGUAAUGGGGCGUUCAACAUCCAGGGAGCCAGGCUGGAGGAGACGCCACUGAGGGAGUGGUCUUCGACCUCCAGCAUCCAGGGAGCCUGGCCGGAGCCAAGGCCGUCGGCGGCUCAGUAGCCCUCCCGAAUCUCGGGAGCGGCCUAAUCCGUAGGCGCGUUCUGGAUGGACGCGCACCACUCCGUGCCUCCACUACAUCAAGCAGAGUUCUUGCUCCUACAGAUCUUGGGUCCCCUGCCAUCCGUGCUAUGAAGAAGACCAACAUCACAAUUUUUCUUGAGCAUUGGAACAAUCUGCAUCUUGAAAAGAUAAAUGCACAAAAGGUACUAAAAGGGUGUCCUACACAACCAGUACGCGGCUGUUGUUAUGUAUAUAACAGAGGGUGGCACAAACAGGACUCCCAAAUUAUAAAGAGUUAAAAUCUUGGCGAGACUGGAAGGUCAUAGCCUCUCAAGAUUAUUUAAUGUGACAAUUUUUGUUUUCUCUAUUUUUAGGGAGCUUCUCUUCUCAUUGUGACAUGAAAUGUAAAGAAUAAUAAUAAUUGCCAAAGUGUCUACUUCAAAUAAAUAUUCGCAACUGCUAUAUUGAUCAAUUGUGAUUUUUAUUAAAUUUAUAUACUAUACAUAUUUUCUUAAAUAUUUUUGUAGUUUCCAGAAGAUGUCUGGGCACGACGCCUUAUAUGAACUUCUCUUCAAAAUUUCUUUGAGAGGCUUCUUAACGAGUGGAUGAGCUGGAUGAUAUGGAGAAGCGGAAGGCAAUCGGGGAGUCAAUGUUUGCAAUGCUCAAGUAGUGUCACGGUAUUUCAGUCCUAUGUUCGAGUUUUGCAGAAAAAAGGUGAGAAUCUUCCAGUUUUCUUUCUGCCAGUCUCUGUGUGAUACUAUUUUCAUAUAAUUUCAAAUUAAAGUACUUGUGCAAAAAUGGACAAAUAACAGAAAGAAUAGGGUAAAUUAGGAUUUGAAAUUAUUCUUGUGGCGUCAUGUUAACCGUUGGGAGCUGCAAGAAGACAUGAUGAUAUCCUUCUAAGUUGAAGUUGAAUGUUUGCUUCAGAACCAGUGAAAUCAAAAUUUAACUGCAAGGAAUUGAUGUAAUUGUGAUAACAAACUCAGAUGGUCAGUUGAGUGCCAAGUUUUAGAUAUGUGUGUGUGGAGUACUGCAGUUCAGCUUUGGGAAGUUAUUUGGCAGAGCAUGAUCAUGGACAGGGAUGUGUGGUUCCAUGGAGAAUCUAAGCUAUCUCCCUAUGGUCGCUUUUAACUGACCUCAAUUUGGUUUAUGUAGGACCUGUGCUACGAAAGAUGGAUAAAUAACGUAACAAUAGAUUAUAUUAUUAAUGUUAUUAUUACAAAAGGAAGAGAUCAGUGAUUUGAUUUGUCCAAUUAAUUUCUGUCUGGUUACUUAGUUCAACUGCCUAUGACACAUCAGUUGGAAGGAUUAUUACAAAAUAAUGUAGCCUUUUCAUACAUAUUUGCAUCUUUCUAAGAUGAAUGCUUGCUUGCUGUAAUAGGAUUUGGGACCAGAUGGAGAAUGUACUUCUUUUUGCACUUGCUUCUCUCAUAUUUUUGUCUUAGAUUUGUGCAUUGCUGCGCAAUUUUAAGAUGCUAAGCAAGUGUUUCUUUCAUUAGGUCUUGUUGUUGUUGCAUGAUUAUGAUUCUCUCUUUUUUUUUGAAACAAUGUCGGUGCCAAAUACUAGGACUACAGAGUUAGAUUUACAUUGAUGUCAUUGUCCAAUAAUUUUCUUUCUGUAUAAUUAAAUACUUGUCUUUAACAAGAGGGAAUAGGUAACAUAAAUUUUACAACCACUAUUUCUUUCUGAAUAUUAAUUACUUGUCCUUUUUUUGCUCCAAGUGAUAUUUGAAAUUGUGCACACUGAUUUUUUUUUUGACAUGGAGAAGCUGAACCUAAUGAAUAGGGGGGCACUCUUUUUUGCAUGAUUCUUCUAGCUAACUAAAUUAAAAAAAUCCUAGAGAAGGAAACUGUUACUUGGCCAAUAUACAUUAUUUAGUGCGUUCUUUAAUCAGAGCCUAUUUGUUCCCUUACUAAUGCUUAUCACACUAGAACUGAAUAUGCUCAUGUUGCAUAGAUUUUGAUUUAGUGACCAUGCACCUAAAGAGAAUGUCGAUUGAGAUUUGGGAACAACCCAAGUACCUGGCUGUUUCUACCCAGCGGCGGCAGUGGCUAAUUGAAGUGGGAAAUGGAUGACAGCGGGUGGAAGACACCGUCGUGCCAGGACGUGGCCGUGCGGACGCGCUGCCGCGAUGAGUCCACAACGAUGGCAACAGGGACGCAGCGCAGGAGCAACAGAGAAGUAAAGGGCAGCGACGGGGCGCUGCAGGGAGACGCCGUCCCAUGGUGUGGUGAGUCGUCGGCGCAAAGAAGGGAAUCAUAAUGCAGCUGCCGCGGUAGCAGAGCCCUAGGCUGGCUUUAGAACUAGAGGCAGAAGUUCGAAAUAUGCAGACCAAUGAUGAAUGUACUAAUUUCGAAAUAGAUUUCUUUUAUGUUCAUGUGGCUAUCUGUAUAACUUGCUGUGAACAUGGAUUUCCCAUGGAUAUUAUAUUUAUUGGAAGAAAUAAACUUGAUGAA